This 517-nucleotide long non-coding RNA is filed under the name Spirodela polyrhiza (greater duckweed). RNAcentral describes it as "long non-coding RNA (SPOL_LNC002335)". The record is from RNAcentral. Lineage: Eukaryota; Viridiplantae; Streptophyta; Magnoliopsida; Alismatales; Araceae.
GCCACCGACGGGAAGGUUCUCGCGAAGAUGACCGUCUCGGCGCCCUCUGCUACAUUCUCUGGAUUCGAUUUCAUUUAGCUGAUCAUCCGAUCUUGUCUGAUUCUUUGUUUUAAACUUUUGUAAAAAAAACGCGAACCUCAGUGAAAUUACCCUUCGAAGGUGAGAACUCACGAACACACCCACUCGAUCAUCCGCAUCAUCGUGUCAUUUUCCUUCAUUUUUCUCCCAAAAAUAUCUGAGCGCUGUGGAGGUUUGAUCUAUCUGUCCUGGGAGGCUCAUCCGAUCAUUCGAUUCAUCUUCCAUGUGAAAGAACGCCACAUCCUGGCGGCGUUCGUCUCAAGGGAUUAUUACCCUGCUGGAGCGAAUUACUCUGCUGGAGCGAAGGUCUGUGGAGGCUCGUCACACCAGAAUCUCCAUCUCUUUCCGAGCCUCCGGAUGACUGCAAUCAACACACCGGAUCUACUCUGCCGCUCACAGAAUGACUCUUCAACCAAAUGCUCGGUCAAAAUUAUAUCUA